RNAcentral lists this ribosomal RNA (1228 nucleotides) under Klebsiella pneumoniae. RNAcentral's name for it is "partial 23S ribosomal RNA". It matches the Rfam family "Bacterial large subunit ribosomal RNA", at positions 398 to 1632 of the family's 2925-position model. Lineage: Bacteria; Pseudomonadati; Pseudomonadota; Gammaproteobacteria; Enterobacterales; Enterobacteriaceae. The record is from RNAcentral.
UGUGAACUCGAAGAGUAGGGCGGGACACGUGGUAUCCUGUCUGAAUAUGGGGGGACCAUCCUCCAAGGCUAAAUACUCCUGACUGACCGAUAGUGAACCAGUACCGUGAGGGAAAGGCGAAAAGAACCCCGGCGAGGGGAGUGAAAAAGAACCUGAAACCGUGUACGUACAAGCAGUGGGAGCACCUUCGGGUGUGACUGCGUACCUUUUGUAUAAUGGGUCAGCGACUUAUAUUCUGUAGCAAGGUUAACCGUAUAGGGGAGCCGCAGGGAAACCGAGUCUUAACUGGGCGUUAAGUUGCAGGGUAUAGACCCGAAACCCGGUGAUCUAGCCAUGGGCAGGUUGAAGGUUGGGUAACACUAACUGGAGGACCGAACCGACUAAUGUUGAAAAAUUAGCGGAUGACUUGUGGCUGGGGGUGAAAGGCCAAUCAAACCGGGAGAUAGCUGGUUCUCCCCGAAAGCUAUUUAGGUAGCGCCUCGUGAAUUCAUCUUCGGGGGUAGAGCACUGUUUCGGCUAGGGGGUCAUCCCGACUUACCAACCCGAUGCAAACUACGAAUACCGAAGAAUGUUAUCACGGGAGACACACGGCGGGUGCUAACGUCCGUCGUGAAGAGGGAAACAACCCAGACCGCCAGCUAAGGUCCCAAAGUCAUGGUUAAGUGGGAAACGAUGUGGGAAGGCACAGACAGCCAGGAUGUUGGCUUAGAAGCAGCCAUCAUUUAAAGAAAGCGUAAUAGCUCACUGGUCGAGUCGGCCUGCGCGGAAGAUGUAACGGGGCUAAACCAUGCACCGAAGCUGCGGCAGCGACACUAUGUGUUGUUGGGUAGGGGAGCGUUCUGUAAGCCUGCGAAGGUGACCUGUGAGGGUUGCUGGAGGUAUCAGAAGUGCGAAUGCUGACAUAAGUAACGAUAAAGCGGGUGAAAAGCCCGCUCGCCGGAAGACCAAGGGUUCCUGUCCAACGUUAAUCGGGGCAGGGUGAGUCGACCCCUAAGGCGAGGCCGAAAGGCGUAGUCGAUGGGAAACAGGUUAAUAUUCCUGUACUUGGUGUUACUGCGAAGGGGGGACGGAGAAGGCUAUGUUAGCCGGGCGACGGUUGUCCCGGUUUAAGCAUGUAGGCUGGUUGUCCAGGCAAAUCCGGAUAAUCAAGGCUGAGGUGUGAUGACGAGGCACUACGGUGCUGAAGUAACAAAUGCCCUGCUUCCAGGAAAAGCCUCUAAGCAUCAGG